ACUCAAAUGAAUUGACGGGGGCCCGCACAAGCAGUGGAGUAUGUGGUUUAAUUCGAAGCAACGCGAAGAACCUUACCAGGGCUUGACAUCCCUCUGACCGGUAUAGAGAUAUACCUUCCCUUCGGGGCAGAGGAGACAGGUGGUGCAUGGUUGUCGUCAGCUCGUGUCGUGAGAUGUUGGGUUAAGUCCCGCAACGAGCGCAACCCCUGUUGUUAGUUGCCAUCAUUAAGUUGGGCACUCUAACAAGACUGCCGGUGACAAAUCGGAGGAAGGUGGGGACGACGUCAAAUCAUCAUGCCCCUUAUGUCCUGGGCUACACACGUACUACAAUGGCGAAUACAGAGGGAAGCAAGACAGUGAUGUGGAGCCAAUCCCCAAAAUUCGCCCCAGUUCAGAUUGCAGGCUGCAACUCGCCUGCAUGAAGUCGGAAUUGCUAGUAAUGGCAGGUCAGCAUACUGCCGUGAAUACGUUCCCGGGCCUUGUACACACCGCCCGU
RNAcentral lists this ribosomal RNA (496 nucleotides) under uncultured bacterium. RNAcentral's name for it is "bacterial SSU rRNA". It matches the Rfam family "Bacterial small subunit ribosomal RNA", at positions 899 to 1397 of the family's 1533-position model. The record is from RNAcentral.